AUAGGUUGUUUGCACAUGACGUCAUUGCUGUGGCGAGAAAUGCAGCUGGAGGACAGGAAGUGAUUUUUCUCUCCAUGUUUCCGAACA
This is a long non-coding RNA of Sinocyclocheilus rhinocerous, 87 nucleotides long. RefSeq lists it as uncharacterized. The record is from RefSeq and is a predicted model, not a curated record. The transcript is spliced from 3 exons. NCBI's taxonomy places the organism in Eukaryota, Metazoa, Chordata, Actinopteri, Cypriniformes, Cyprinidae.